RNAcentral lists this ribosomal RNA (2907 nucleotides) under Triticum aestivum (bread wheat). Its description in RNAcentral is "partial small subunit ribosomal RNA". The record is from RNAcentral. Lineage: Eukaryota; Viridiplantae; Streptophyta; Magnoliopsida; Poales; Poaceae.
AUGGCUUCGCGGCCGCAGCCAGCAGAGCGCCGCGUCCGAGCUGCAGCGCCGGCGGCGGAGUCCGACGACAUCCUGAGGAAAAUAUUCCUCCUCCUAGACUCACCCGCCGACCUGGCACGUGGCUGUGCGGCGAGCCCCGCCUUCCGUCGCGUCAUCACCGACCAGGGCUUCCUACGCCGCUUCCGUGCCCUCCACCCGCCGCCCCUCCUCGGCAUCAGCGCCGACAUCUUCCUACCUGCCGAGCCGCCGCAUCCCUCCGCCGCUGCGGCCCGCAAGUUCGUGGAGGACGCCGGCGCCAUCGAUUUCACGUGCAUGCCCUUCCUCCCUGCCCCCGGCGGCCCAUGGGAUUUCUGGGAGUCCCGCGAUGGCCGUACUCUCUACACCGGUCAAAUCCAGCGGGGAAGCUGUUGCGGAAGGCAUCGCUCCCUGGGCCGGCCCGUCGCCGUUUGCGACCCCCUCUAUCGGCGGUGCCUCGUGCUGCCUGCCAUCCCCAAGGACGUAGCCGCGUUGGUCAACCAUGGAAAGCGCCUCGACGACUUCAAGCCCUUCCUCGCUCCACCCGCGGCAGAUGAGCAUGACUCGUACUUCCCUGCUCAUCCUACCAGUGACGGCGGUGAGGACGAUGACAAGGACGGCGGUGAGGAUGCAUUAUUGGCGCCAUCAUUCAGAGUGAUGUGCUUGGUGCAGUGUGCAGGCAACUUAUUCCUCUUUGUCUUCUCUACAAGCGGUGCCGCUGCAGGACAACCAUGGCGUGCCGUCAAGUUCGACGGCUGGGGUGCUUUGGGCAAUGACCCACUCUAUUCAUACAGGCCGUUCCUACCACACAACUUCGUGCAUGGGCGGUUCUAUUUGCCAAUCCGCCCUGAGAGAAACAAGAUCCUCGUCAUCGACGUCAGGGCGAGCACCCCAUGGUUCUCCAUCAAAGACUUCCAGCCUCGUGAUAGCGACUCGCCUGUGACCUUCGUGGAGGCCGCUGGAGAUCAAGAGCGGCUCGCGAUGGUCACCAUUGGUAAGCACAAUGAUAGGUACAAUGUGUACCACCUCCGGUAUGCCGUCUUGCAGGAAGAUGACGGGGAUCGGUGGGAACCAAAACCGGUCAUCUACUUGCCCGUGCAUUACCAUUACUACCGAUUCAUCGGGGUGGCUGGGGGAUACCUGCAGCUGGAGGGGGCGCCGGAAGGUAGAGAGGAGGAUUGCGAUUUGUCUAGGCCGGACAUGGUGUGCUUCUCGUUGGAUCUCCGCACGCUACAGCUCGAGCGGUUCUGUGGGAGCAUCGGCGUGACGAGGCCGUUUUGGUGGCGACGGUCGCUCUGUUUUAAACGCACCCUAGCGGCUCAUGAUGAAUUUGAACGGCCGAAGCGGCACCCACUGGACUUGUGCGGCUGCAGCAUCGGUGGCCUCGCGAAUCAUGAUUGGCAUGACAAUGAGAGUGUAUGGAAACUCACAUUCGCAUACGUGCAACCAACCCAGCGCCGCGUGCGGGCACCUGCGGCGGCGGUGGAGUCCGACGACAUCCUGAGGCAGAUCUUCCUCCUCCUCGACUCCCCGGCUGACCUCGCCUGCGUCUGCGCGGCCAGCCCCGCCUUCUGCCGCGUCAUCACCGACCCCAGCUUCCUCCGCUGCUUCCGUGCCCUACACCCGCCACCCAUCCUCGGCGCUCUCUCCGACGUCUUCCUCCCCGCCGAGCAGCCACAUCCAUCUGCCGCCGUCGCCCGCGCGCUCCUGGACGAAGGCGCCGCCGACUUCUCAUUCUCCUUCCUCCCCUCUCCUGGCCCGUGGGAGAUCCGUGAAAUCCGUGAUGGCCGCGCCCUCCUCUCCGAGCACCCCGAGGAGUGCUGCAAGUACAUCUAUGACAAGCAUGCCUUGCACAGCCGCCUCGCCGUCUGUGAUCCCUUGCACCGGCGAUACCGCGUGCUGCCCGCCAUCCCCGAGGACCUAGCUGCGAUAGUCGUCGUCCCUGAACCGAAUGUGAUAGACUUUCAGCCCUUUCUCGCUCCGGCCGCCGAGGCUGAGGAGGACGUGCCCUUGGUUGCUCCUCCUUCCGGUGCCAACGACAAUGUGUCGGCGCCGCCAUUUACAGUGAUGUGCCCGGCGAGGUGCAGCAUAACAGAACUGAUCUUCUUGGUUUCCACGUCCUCGCGCGCCGGAGGAGAGUGGCAAGCUGUCAAGUUUGACGAAUGGAGUGCUUUGAAUGGCGGCCCGCACGAAGAAUCGCUUUUGUGGUUGUCACGGAGCCACAAUUACAUGCGCGGACACUUUUGUUGGUUCAUCUACCCCGCGUAUAAGAAGCUGCUCGUCCUUGACGUGCGCGGGACCACACCGGAGUUCACCUGUAUCGACCUCCCGUCUAGGCUCAAGCACGACCAUAUAUCUCAACCAUACGCCGCCCUGCGAGAUGAGAACUGUGAGGAAUCGGAGGCAAGGGUGAUCAUCCACCUGAUGCCCUUGGACUACGAAAACUAUCGCUUCAUGGGGGUGGCCAGGGGGUAUCUGCUGCUGAAGGCGCGUCCAUUAGGCUGGCAUUGGGCCAGGCGCAAUCCAGACACAUGUCCUGAUAAGGCGUUAUUCUCUUUGGAUCUCCAAACGCUGCAGCUCAAGUGGUUAUGUGGGAGAAAGGAGAUGUCGUCCCCAUACGUCUGGUUGUAUGCUGGGCUCCCACGUGACCCGGUGCUCUUCGAAGGUGCCUUUCGUUGGAGUGGACAUCGCCACUUCAUGUCUUGGUCCUCUGUGUAUACUUCUUCGACUCGUGAUGUUUCGCCAUCUUUGGUAUUGCUGGGGAUCUGCCAUUUUCAUCGUCUUCUUAUCCGGCAUGAUGAUUCAUUUUCCAAAUCAUUGUCGCCAACAUCUUUUGCUCCAAACCAACAACUACACGACCUAUCCAUCAACAUGUUUCCCGUGCUCCAAUAG